Pelobates cultripes (western spadefoot toad) is the source of this 416-nucleotide non-coding RNA. NCBI's taxonomy places the organism in Eukaryota, Metazoa, Chordata, Amphibia, Anura, Pelobatidae. The record is from the annotation of a GenBank genome assembly.
CCUCUGAAGGUGAGGCUGGUCACUGGGUCACUCUGUCUGUCCCCUUUCUCCAGGUUUGGAAGAUUACUGGCUCUCUGUAUCACACAGCGAAGCAUCUCACAGUCAGGGAGCAAUCCACAGACACAGGAUAAAGUCCAGAUCACAGGGACCAGCAGAGCAAAUCACCCAGAUCACAGCAACAGAGACCCCUGGCCAGCACUGCUCUGCAGAUCACAGCAAUAGAGACCCCUGGCCAGCACUGCUCUGCAGAUCACAGCAACAGAGACCCCUGGCCAGCACUGCUCUGCAGAUCACAGUAACAGGGACCCCUGGCCAGCACUGCUCUGCAGAUCACCACAGCAUAGCUCCCUGGAUAGCAAUGCUCUGCAGAUCACAGCCCAUGUACAGCACUCCUGCACAGCCCUGUGCCAGUCACU